AUUGAACGCUGGCGGCAUGCUUUACACAUGCAAGUCGAACGGCAGCACGGGGGCAACCCUGGUGGCGAGUGGCGAACGGGUGAGUAACACAUCGGAACGUGUCCAGUUGUGGGGGAUAACCCAUCGAAAGGUGGGCUAAUACCGCAUGAGCUGGCAACAGGAAAGCGGGGGACCCGCAAGGGCCUUGUGCGAUUGGAGCGGCCGAUGUCCGAUUAGCUAGUUGGUGGGGAAAGCCUACCAAGGCUUCGAUCGGUAGCUGGUCUGAGAGGAUGAUCAGCACACUGGGACUGAGACACGGCCCAGACUCCUACGGGAGGCAGCAGUGGGAAUUUGGACAAUGGGGGCAACCCUGAUCCAGCCAUGCCGCGUGAGUGAAGAAGGCCUGGUU
This 388-nucleotide ribosomal RNA is filed under the name uncultured bacterium. RNAcentral's name for it is "bacterial SSU rRNA". It matches the Rfam family "Bacterial small subunit ribosomal RNA", at positions 29 to 424 of the family's 1533-position model. The record is from RNAcentral.